This is a non-coding RNA of Coffea arabica (coffee), 511 nucleotides long. Lineage: Eukaryota; Viridiplantae; Streptophyta; Magnoliopsida; Gentianales; Rubiaceae. The record is from RefSeq and is a predicted model, not a curated record.
UUUAUCCUCUGAUCCUCCAGCAUGGGACCGGACAUACCUGAUCGAGUUGAUACACCACAACUUAUUUGUCACGAAAUGAGCCACCCUGAGCGGUGGUAAUGAGGACGGAGCCCGGGGUGGCCUUGGACUUGACAUUCACCUCUUCAAGAUAACCUCGGAACGAGUCAAUGACUGUUGGGUUCAAAAGAUGCUGAUCUCUUUUGUGGGUUUCGAGCAGAGUGAGUACGAGGGAGUGGCGGAAUUGUUCUAGCCUGAACUUGGUGCACUGCCUUAUUAAGGUUAUCUUCAUGUUAGACUGGUCACGGACUUGGUGGUAAAGGUGGUUUUGGUAGGUAGCAACGAGGAAGAUAGGCCAAUUUGGUUCUUUAGAAGAUAAUGCAAGCCUUUUCUUACACAAUUUUCACUGCGAGUAUUUAUAUGUAUCAGGUUAUUCUAAUGUAUGCCGUAAGGUUCAGGAUAAGAGGUGAAUUAGGUGUUGCUUUGUUACCAAAUAUAUAAAUUUUUUGUAAAA